Molecule: antisense RNA, 69 nt
Filed under: Lentzea albida
Lineage: Bacteria; Bacillati; Actinomycetota; Actinomycetes; Pseudonocardiales; Pseudonocardiaceae
Description: ASpks TB sRNA
Rfam family: ASpks TB sRNA
Source: RNAcentral
CUUGAGCGAGCCGAGCCACAAGGGGCGGUCGCGGUCCUGGCCGUAGGUGGCGAGGAUCGCCUGAGCCUC